AUUUGGUGAUAGAUUUUUCUAUCAUUAACAACCCAUGGGAGAAAGCAGAAGUGGCUCAUAGAGUCCCCACCUGGCUGACCCACUCCUCCCCAGCUUCCUUUUUCUUACCCGCCUCCAGGUUCAGAUCCCAGUGCUUCACCUUCCCUUUCUAGAAGGCUUCAUUGCAUUUCUGCCCUGCAAAGAGAGGUAGAGUUUAGAGAGAACUGCCCUACAUCAUUGAGGAGAGAAGAACAAGAAUUUUGAAAUCAGAAAGGCCCUAGCUGGAAUUCUUGAUCUGUCUGUUACCAGCUGCAGAUGACCUUGGAAAUGAGUUUGCUCAUCUGACAAAUUGGGGAUAACAUUGUGAUCCUCACAUAUUAUCAGUAAUAGUUAUUCCUUAUUAUUAUUUUAAGAGUCAUGACUUAGAAUGGGGAAGAAUAUAACAUGGGGGCAGGGAUGAAAGAAGCACGAAAAGAAAAGGAUUCGUCCAAGGUUAAGUCCAAGUCUAAGUAAUAUUAAGGGAUAUUACAACAUGCUCUAUAAAAUACAGUGAGGUUCACUCUAUCCGAUGUGCUUCCAACACUCGAUCCCUCUGCUUCUCUUUAGUAUGAAGCCUGCUUACCCACACCUGCCUCCCUACCAUCUUGACAUGGCUCACCUUACUUGCUUUGAAAUUCCUGCUAUUAUAAUAACUUUGAUAGUUAGACGGUAAAGGAGGCAGCACCGUUCCCAGUAACCCACUAUGGAAUGGUCCACCACUAAGUUUUGGGGGGCAGGGAGGGAUGGAGGAGACCCAUUAUUCUCUCCUGUUAACACAAACUGAUAUUUCAGAUUUCCUGGUCAUGACAGGGGUGCUAUAAAAGAGAGGAUGGUCCAUAACAAAGAAUGAAAUUAUGGCAUUUGCCAGUAAAUGGAUGGAAAUGGAGACUAUCAAGCUAAUAAGCCAGUCCCAAAAAUCAAAGACCAGACAUUCUCUAUGUGGAUGAUAACACACAAUAAAUAAGGUGUGGGAGGGAAGAAUAGAAGUUCAUUGGAGCCAGCCAUGGUGGCUGAGACAGGAGGAUCAUGAGUUCAAAGCCAGCCUCAGCAAUGGCAAGGUACUAAGCAACUCAGUGAGACCCUUUCUCUAAAUAAAAUAUAAAAUAGGGCUGGGAAUGUGGCUCAGUGGUCGAGUGCCCCUGAGCUUAAUCCCCAAUAAGAAGGAGGAGGAGGAGGAGAAGAAGAAGAAUAAGUAGUAGUAGUAGUAGUUGUUGUUGAAGUUGUUCAUUGGAUUAGACAAAGGGGAAUGAAGAGAAGUGGGAUAGGAAAAGGAAAGAUGGUAGAAUGAACUGGACAUAAUUUUCUAUGUUCAUAUAUGAAUACACAACCAGUGUAACUCCACAUCAUGUACAACCACAAGAAUGAGAUUUUAAAUUAUACUCCAUGUAUAUACAAUAUGUCAAAAUACACUCUACUGUCAUGUAUAUCUAAAAAAAAACAAAUAAUGUUUUUAAAAAAAUGGGGCUGGUAAAGGAUUCAAGGAGAGCAGCCUAAUAGGACAAAUGAAGGAGAAGAAGAGACAGUGUAAAGAGCAUUGGAAAGAAACAUUAUGGAAGUGAAGUGCUGCUGGGCUGUUCUGACCCCACUGACAAUCAAAUCCCAUGGCAUAUACAUGCCCAACUUUCAUCAAGCCCCUGUGUAUAGUCUUUCAUUUUUAAAAUGCAGCAUUUAUUCAUUUUCAACAAAUAUUUGUAAAACAUUUAUUAAUGGGCCAGGAACUGAAUACUUAGGGUCAAGGAAAAGGCUUAUCUUAUGGGAAGAAUUAAAUAAUAAGUUUGAUCUGGCUAGAGAGAGGAAACUGGUCAUGUUAAAGGUUUUGAACUCUAACAUAAGGGGAAUGGGAGCUACUAAUGUUUUCUUUUUAAAUAAACUUUUAGUUAUGGAAUGGGUUUAUAUUUAGUUCUUAUGUAGCCCCUUAACAAACUUCCCCUUGUUAUGGUUUGGAUGUGAGGUGUCCCCCAGAAGCUCACAUGUGAGACAAUGCAAGAAGGUUCAAAGGAGAAAUGAUUGGGUUGUGAGAGUCUUAGCCCAAUCAGUGAAUUAAUCCCCUUAUAGGGAUUAAGUGAGUGGUAACUGAAAUGGUGGGGU
This 2106-nucleotide long non-coding RNA is filed under the name Marmota monax (woodchuck). Lineage: Eukaryota; Metazoa; Chordata; Mammalia; Rodentia; Sciuridae. The record is from RNAcentral.